UACGGGGGGGGCAAGCGUUGUUCGGAAUUACUGGGCGUAAAGGGCUCGUAGGCGGCCAACUAAGUCGGAUGUGAAAUCCCCAAGCUUAACUUGGGAACUGCAUCCGAUACUGGAUGGCUUGAAUCCGGGAGAGGGAUGCAGAAUUCCAGGUGUAGCGGUGAAAUGCGUAGAUAUUCGGAAGAACACCAGUGGCGAAGGCGACUCACUGGACGACUGUUGACGCUGAGGUGCGAAAGCGUGGGGAGCAAACAGG
RNAcentral lists this ribosomal RNA (253 nucleotides) under uncultured bacterium. RNAcentral describes it as "partial 16S ribosomal RNA". It matches the Rfam family "Bacterial small subunit ribosomal RNA", at positions 524 to 776 of the family's 1533-position model. The record is from RNAcentral.